RNAcentral lists this unclassified non-coding RNA (3788 nucleotides) under Hevea brasiliensis (rubber tree). Lineage: Eukaryota; Viridiplantae; Streptophyta; Magnoliopsida; Malpighiales; Euphorbiaceae. The record is from RNAcentral.
AGGUCCCAGAGCUUUCGGUCUUGAAGUCUUCCAACUCCAUUUCAAUGGCGCUUCUUGCUAUUCUUUUGACCUCCAAAUACUCACUCAAAACCUUGAUUUUCUCUCUCUCUUUUCACUUAAUUCCCACCAUACCCUCUUAUUCAUUCUCUUCCCAAUGCAGACGACGCCUAGCUACCCCUUUCUCUCUGCCUUCGGAAUCUCCUCCGUUAGCAAAGAAGGUCCCUUUUACAGUCUCUGCUCAUGGAAAAACGUGGCAGGAUCCCUACCAUUGGAUGCGCAACACCAAUGAACCAGAUUUUGUCGAUUACCUCAACCAAGAGAACUCGUAUGCCCAAGCUUUCAUGGCCGACACUCAAAACCUGCAACGAACUCUGUUUGAGGAAAUGAGAAAUAGAAUGCCCACAAAAAUUUCCACUGCUCCCGAGCGUUGGGGUCCCUGGUUAUACUACCAGUACAUUCCAGAAGGGAAAGAAUACCCUGUUCUUUGCAGGAGGUUAGAGUCUGGGAAAAAUGGUUGGCUAAAGACGCUUCUCAGUUACACAAGCGGACAGUUUGGGAUGGAGCAAAUUUUGCUUGAUUGGAACGAAAUUGCAGAACAAUAUGGUUAUGUCCAUGUGGGUACAUGCCGAGUUUCACCAGACCACAACUUUCUUGCAUACACACUUGAUUUUACUGGAAAUGAACAGUUUGUACUUCAAAUUAAGGACCUCAGAGAUGGAUCUAUUGUUCCAAAAUCAGAAAUUGAUGGGGUUGUUAGUUUGGCAUGGGCUCAAGAUGGCUGUACUUUGUUCUAUACAAAAUCAGAUCAGAAUCAACGACCUUAUAGGGUUCUGUGCACAAAACUGGGAUCUGAUGUGAUAGAUGAUGUUACAGUUUUCACAGAAGAUGAUUUGAACUUUUGUGUGGAUAUUACAAGUACAAAAGAUGGAAAGUUCAUUACAGUCAACUCAAACUCAAGAACUUCAUCUGAGGAAGGAAUUUACUUGUUUCAAUUUAAACUUUUUCAAUAAUAUCCUGAUUUCAACAUUUAUAUCAUGAGGGUGAGGCUUAUGUCUUAUGCCUUUUUGCAGGUUUAUGUGAUAGAUGCAACCAAUCCAUUUGACGGUUUACAAAGAAUACACAAGCGUGUUUCUAAUGUCCAGUAUUUUUUGGAACAUCACAAUGGUUUGUUCUAUAUUCUUACAAAUGCUGCUUUAAGUGGGUCGUCGGGUGGUAAUUAUUACUUGGCUACAUGCCCAGUUGAACAUAUAAAGUCAUCCCAGUGGCAGAGUAUCAUCCUUCCAAGUGAAGAUAUGAACUUUCAGGAUAUGGACAUUUUUAGUGGGCAUUUGGUGCUUUUUCUCCAGAAGAAAGGUUUCCCCCUGUUAUGUUCCAUCAAUUUGCCUUUCAAGGUUGAUUGUGAGAGUCAAUUGGAGGUUGACGAUCUUGAUCCAUGGUUUUUCCCUCUGCCUUCAAAUCUAUGUAGCAUUGUUCCAGGGUCGAACCAUGACUUCAUGAACCCAAAAUAUCGUGUUGUAUUGUCAUCACCAGUGAUGCCUGAUGUGAUUGUUGACUAUGACAUGUCAAGACAGACAUUCUCAAUCGUUCAGCAAGAGGAAGUAAGAGAACUUUCCGGUGAUCAUGGAAGACAUUUACCAGCCCAUAAGCAAGAUACUCCUGAAUAUCUUGAUACACAAAAUGGAGAGGAUAAAAAUUAUCACAAUGUUGAAUUAAGGAGAUGGAAAGACUUUUCUGAUGCAUACUGCUGUGAAAGAAAGGAAGCCAUUUCCCAUGAUGGUGUCAGGGUUCCCCUGACCAUCUUGUAUUCUCGAAAAGCCUGGCAGAGGGGUUUGUCUCCUGGACUAUUACAAGGCUAUGGAGCAUAUGGGGAAGUUCUGGACAAAGCUUGGUGCCCAGACCGCCUGAGUUUGCUUGAUCGUGGUUGGGUGAUGGCCUUUGCUGAUGUGAGGGGUGGUGGCAGCGGGGAUUCUUCAUGGCAUAAAUCUGGCAGUGGGUUGAACAAACAUAAUUCCAUAUAUGAUUUUGUAUCAUGUGGUAAUUACCUCAUUAAUGAGGGCUACGUUCAUAGAGAUCGGCUAGGUGCCAUUGGUUUCAGUGCUGGGGGCCUUCUUGUUGGGGCAGCUAUAAACAUGGACCGAAAUCUGUUUUGUGCUGCCAUAUUGAAGGUUAGCUAUCAUACAGUGGAAUGGAGAAAAAGAUUUGUAAGAAGGGAGGUUCGACUAGCAUUUUCUCUUUUCUUGAUUAUUUUUAUACAGAAACAAAUGAAGUGUCAAUCUUCUUUUGUGUUUUUGCCUUAUCACUAGCCAAAAAGGGAAAAACUAAUUUUUAAUGGGCAACAGGCCUGAUUAAAGAAGUUGGCAUGUAGUAUUAGAAUAUUAUGUGUAUAAUUGACCUGUAAUUUGGUUGUACCGCAAAAUAAUUAUAAUAAUAAUGCUUCGGUGAUGCUUACUAUUGCUUUAGUAUUAUUUGAAAGAAACGAAGCAUGGCUUGAACUUAUUUAGUGCACUACACCUUCAUAUUAUAUUGGUACUGAUCUUUGGUAAUAUGUAUGCCAGGUGCCAUUUCUUGACAUAUGCAACACGUUGUUGGAUCCGAGUUUGCCUCUUACCUUAUUGGAUUAUGAAGAAUUUGGGAAUCCUCAGAUACAGUCGCAUUUUGAGUAUAUUCUAAGUUAUUCUCCUUAUGAUAACAUUCAUCGCGAUGGUUGCCUUCCUGCAAUGCUUGUUACUACAUCAUUUCUCGACUCAAGGGUUGGAGUUUGGGAGGCUGCCAAAUGGGUGGCCAGAAUACGAGAUAGCACAUGUUCUAGUUGCUCUUGCUCAGUCAUUCUAAAGACAAACAUGGCUGGAGGACAUUUUGGUGAAGGUGGUUAUCACAGCAAAUGUGAAGAAACAGCUUAUGAUUAUGCCUUUCUGAUGAAGGUUAUAGGGGACUUAAAUGAUAGAAGUUAGGAUUGUUGCUGAGAUGCACUACCAAAUCAACAGAAAUAUUUACUCAAGUCCUUGUAAAGAGGGAUUCUUGCAAUUUUGCAGAGGUGGAUGGAUAACUUGAGAAAGUGUUUGAAAACAAGGUAAUAUAAGUACAUGACUCUCAGUUUGUGCUUUGAUUCAAUCUUUGUUUCUCUUUCCUGCCAGUAUGAUGAAGGCACUGCUUUAUAUUUGUUCAAAAUGAAGAUACAAGUACCUAUUUGAUUACAUCUCGCGCUGUAUCUCUCGUGUUGCAGCAAUAGGCAAGGUACUGAUGCGAUCAUUUCCUCUAGGGAAGGUGACAAGCGCGCAUCGUAUGGCGAAUCUAUGGAGGGUCAUAUCUUGGUCUCUCCCACCAAAUGAGAGGGUCAAUGCUCAUGUGGGUCACUCACCGCACAAGACGAGGUGAAGGUUAGAUUCUGUAAGAAAGAUGACAAGCGUGCCUUAGGGUGCUGGACGUGUGGGAACUUCAAUUCACCUAGCGGUAGCAGGGAUUGCUUUGGUUCUCCAAUUAGUAUAUUAGAAGCUAAAGAUCACAAGCUAUGCUUGGAGAGGAAUGGCUUUAGUUACUAGAUAAUCUUCUUUUGCUCCCUUGGUAAUUGCCCCAUGGAGCAAGGACUCCUCUUAUCUGAGAACUGGGAUGCAUAAAGCUGCAACUCUCCAUGAAACUUAAAUCUUUAUUUUUAAGAGCAUUUUAUAAUGAUCAACCAGUUCCAGCAUACGAAUUAACUAUUCUUUAAAAGUUAUUGGAUUUUCAUUCCUGAUGUUUGUGGAAAUAUUGGAUUUUCAUGCUUUUCAUUUUUAUUGUUAAACAAAACAAAU